GCUAUUUUGGCAGAUUAGUGCAAUAAAUUUAGAAUUUAGUUAUGUGAUUUUAAAAUUACAAAUAGUA
This 67-nucleotide transfer RNA is filed under the name Protoplasa fitchii. RNAcentral's name for it is "tRNA-Leu". Lineage: Eukaryota; Metazoa; Arthropoda; Insecta; Diptera; Tanyderidae. The record is from RNAcentral.